UACCGGUCCCCUCGCAAUGAUUAACCGUGAACCCGGUCAGGUCCGGAAGGAAGCAGCCGCAGCGGUGACGUCGUGUGCCGGGGUGUGGCUGGUAGGG
This 97-nucleotide signal recognition particle RNA is filed under the name Azomonas macrocytogenes. RNAcentral's name for it is "Bacterial small signal recognition particle RNA". It matches the Rfam family "Bacterial small signal recognition particle RNA". Rfam says of the family: The signal recognition particle (SRP) is a universally conserved ribonucleoprotein involved in the co-translational targeting of proteins to membranes. Lineage: Bacteria; Pseudomonadati; Pseudomonadota; Gammaproteobacteria; Pseudomonadales; Pseudomonadaceae. The record is from Rfam by way of RNAcentral.